RNAcentral lists this ribosomal RNA (395 nucleotides) under uncultured bacterium. RNAcentral's name for it is "partial 16S ribosomal RNA". It matches the Rfam family "Bacterial small subunit ribosomal RNA", at positions 523 to 918 of the family's 1533-position model. The record is from RNAcentral.
AUACGUAGGGUGCAAGCGUUAAUCGGAAUUACUGGGCGUAAAGCGUGCGCAGGCGGUUUUGUAAGACAGAGGUGAACUCCCCGGGCUCAACCUGGGAACUGCCUUUGUGACUGCAAGGCUAGAGUACGGCAGCGGGGGAUUGAAUUCCGCGUGUAGCAGUGAAAUGCGUAGAUAUGCGGAGGAACACCGAUGUCUAAGGCAAUCCACUGUGUCGGUUGUGACUCCCAUGCCCGACACGGGGGUGAACAAACAGGAGUAGAGACCCUGGUGGUCCACGCCAUAGACGAUGUCAACUGGUUGUUGGGUCUUCCGCGUGUACGUACUGAACCUAACGCAUGAAGGUAACCCCCUGGUGAGUACGGUCUCAAGGUGGAAACUCAAAUGAAUUGACGGGG